CCCCUACGGGGGGCAGCAGUGGGGAAUAUUGGGCAAUGGGGGAAACCCUGACCCAGCAACGCCGCGUGAAGGAAGAAGGCUUUCGGGUUGUAAACUUCUUUGACCAGGGACGAAACAAAUGACGGUACCUGGAAAACAAGCCACGGCUAACUACGUGCCAGCAGCCGCGGUAAUACGUAGGUGGCAAGCGUUGUCCGGAUUUACUGGGUGUAAAGGGCGCGUAGGCGGGGCUGCAAGUCAGAUGUGAAAUCUGGGGGCUUAACCCUCAAACUGCAUUUGAAACUGUGGCUCUUGAGUAUCGGAGAGGCAGGCGGAAUUCCUAGUGUAGCGGUGAAAUGCGUAGAUAUUAGGAGGAACACCAGUGGCGAAGGCGGCCUGCUGGACGACAACUGACGCUGAGGCGCGAAAGCGUGGGGAGCAAACAGGAUUAGAUACCCGGGUAGUCA
RNAcentral lists this ribosomal RNA (446 nucleotides) under uncultured Oscillospiraceae bacterium. RNAcentral describes it as "bacterial SSU rRNA". It matches the Rfam family "Bacterial small subunit ribosomal RNA", at positions 336 to 796 of the family's 1533-position model. Lineage: Bacteria; Bacillati; Bacillota; Clostridia; Eubacteriales; Oscillospiraceae. The record is from RNAcentral.